This 874-nucleotide small RNA is filed under the name Pongo abelii (Sumatran orangutan). RNAcentral's name for it is "processed transcript". Lineage: Eukaryota; Metazoa; Chordata; Mammalia; Primates; Hominidae. The record is from RNAcentral.
GGAGGGGCAGAAGUUGCGCGCGGGCCGGCGGGCGGGAGCGGACACCGAGGCCGGCGUGCAGGCGUGCGGGUGUGCGGGAGCCGGGCUCGGGGGAUCGGACUGAGAGCGAGAAGCGCGGCAUGGAGCUCCAGGCAGCCCGCGCCUGCUUCGCCCUGCUGUGGGGCUGUGCGCUGGCCGCGGCCGCGGCGGCACAGGGCAAGGAAGUGGGACCUGAUGCAGAACAUCAUGAAUGACAUGCCGAUCUACAUGUACUCCGUGUGCAACGUGAUGUCUGGUGACCAGGACAACUGGCUCCGCACCAACUGGGUGUACCGAGGAGAGGCUGAGCGUAUCUUCAUUGAGCUCAAGUUUACUGUACGUGACUGCAACAGCUUCCCUGGCGGCGCCAGCUCCUGCAAGGAGACUUUCAACCUCUACUAUGCCGAGUCGGACCUGGACUAUGGCACCAACUUCCAGAAGCGCCUGUUCACCAAGAUUGACACCAUUGCGCCCGAUGAGAUCACCGUCAGCAGCGACUUCGAGGCACGCCACGUGAAGCUGAACGUGGAGGAGCGCUCCGUGGGGCCGCUCACCCGCAAAGGCUUCUACCUGGCCUUCCAGGAUAUCGGUGCCUGUGUGGCGCUGCUCUCCGUCCGUGUCUACUACAAGAAGUGCCCCGAGCUGCUGCAGGGCCUGGCCCACUUCCCUGAGACCAUCGCCGGCUCUGAUGCACCCUCCCUGGCCACUGUGGCCGGCACCUGUGUGGACCAUGCCGUGGUGCCACCGGGCGGUGAAGAGCCCCGUAUGCACUGUGCAGUGGACGGCGAGUGGCUGGUGCCCAUUGGGCAGUGCCUGUGCCAGGCAGGCUACGAGAAGGUGGAGGAUGCCUGCCAGG